Molecule: long non-coding RNA, 328 nt
Organism: Mastomys coucha (southern multimammate mouse)
Lineage: Eukaryota; Metazoa; Chordata; Mammalia; Rodentia; Muridae
Exons: 4
Source: RefSeq, a predicted model, not a curated record
AGGACUCCAGGAAAAUCAUGGAAGGUAUAUAAGGAAGACAUGGGCCAGAAGAUCUACUCUUUCUCAGUGUCACUUCAGAAAAGAGCAGGCUUCCCAAGGAUAUCAACGAAACCUAGAGUAACAAGUAUAAAGGCUGGGUGAGACAACCCAAUAGGAAGAAAAAGAUCCCAAAAAGAAGACAAAAGAGAGACAGCCACUGCUCCCACGGUUAGAAGAGAAUACCAAGGUUUUCUGGGCUACUCCUUCGAUGGUUCCUAGCAAUCCAGGAAGAUUAUAGCAUGGUCUCCUUUUUAUGAUGGGUCUCCAUAGGACCUUCUCAGCCAACGAC